Long non-coding RNA from Brassica napus (rape), 5181 nucleotides. RefSeq lists it as uncharacterized. The transcript has 2 exons. The record is from RefSeq and is a predicted model, not a curated record. NCBI's taxonomy places the organism in Eukaryota, Viridiplantae, Streptophyta, Magnoliopsida, Brassicales, Brassicaceae.
CCUUAUGAUCAAAGUGAAACAUAUUGAGAGCUUUAGUUUUGAGUAGUUUCUAAAGCUAAUAAGAUAAGUUGUUCUUAUAACUCUUUGUGUUUCUAAGAGAUCUGAUAAUGAAUAUCCUAAAUUAUGGAUUAACCUUUUUUUUAUUAAAAAAAAACAGCUUGUUUUUUUUCAAUUCUAAACAAAUACCACAGCUUGUGAUUUGUGAGUCAGAGCACUUUCAAUAAGAGUUACUGACAUGGAUUUUCAAUACAUAUGUAGGUGUAAAUAUAUAAAAUAAUGAUAAUAUUAAUUAUGAGUAUUUUAAAAUGAUGAGAACUCCACACUAAAAUAUCUUAAAUAUUUUUAGAUUUUUCAAAUCCAAUAGAUUUAUAAUAACUUAUUUUUAUUAUAUUUUAAAAAAUUCGAUGGGACACCCUUAAUAAAAAUGCUCUCAUAAUAUUUUACUAGCGCGUUUUUAAACAAUUUAAUAAUCUUACAUGUUUCAAAUUGAGGAAUAUCCUAAAAUAUUUUUAAGAACUUGGUUCUCCAAAAAAAAUAAAAUACCACAAUUUGUUUCUUAGGAUUUCUAAAAUUUUGGAAGACUUCCUAGUUGUUUUGAGGUAAUUUCUGAAUAAGAUAGAAACGAGUUUUCUUUAAAACACACAUUUUCAAAUUUCGGAUGUCAACUUUUAACAUGGUAAGAUUUCAUUGCAUAUUGAGUUUUUUUUUGUUUCUAUCAACUUCAAAUUUUUAUUAUAUAUUUCACUAAUGCUCGCGAAUUCAUUUUUUUUUGUCACAAAUUUCUUUAAUUAAAAUCUAAGACGCUACAACGAUGACAACCGGAGGUAUGCUCGACGAUAAGAUGAACAACAAUAACACUAGAACAAUAAAACAUGGGAUAGAAGUGUUAUAAGGAGAGAGUUGCUCGUAGUAGAGAGAUCCGCAGAUAAUCUUUACUUGAAUCCUUGAAACCGCAGCUCGAGAGAGCUUCAAAUAGUCUGAAACGACUUUGAAGUACCCUAGUGAAAGGGUUUGGAAGAGAGGUAAAAAGCCGACUGAGGCUAAGUAACCCAUCAAACGAAUAAGAUCAGCUCUAGAACCGACUAUGCUGACCCGGGAGACUAGGUGAAUCUCAAGUGAUCCAGAGAACAAGAUAAUCGGAGCUUGAGUCUCGUCUUUUCGGUAACUGCAUCCUUUGCUCUUCCGGACGAUCAUCGGUUUCCCCAAACAAACAAUGACAAGCAGAUUGGAAACCAUUACUUUAUCAAUAAUUGGAGAUAUUCAUUUUCUUAAAGUUGUGCUUAUUUUAUUAUAUUAGCAGUCCAUGAUUUAUACUAACUAAAAACGGAAACCAUUACUUUAUCAAUAAUUGGAGGUUCGGCAGAAACAAAAGAUGGUGGAAUAUUCAAAACUUGGUGGGCAGUUAGAUGAAGAUCAACCAUGUCCUUCGUGUUGUUUAUCUUCUUUGCAGUUCACGUGUUUGUAGCUCUAGUUUUGUUCAUCAAUUAAAUACUACAUAAAUCCUAAGAUUAAGAAAUAACUUUAGAGUGAAAACUGAAAAGUAUGACUAAUAACAUUAUGAAAAACUUUACAACAUAUCGGUUAGUUAAAAGAGAAGGGGAAAAAUACUUCUCUCAAAAGUCACAUGUCUCUUGCCAGCUAGUUUGAUUAAUAUCAGCACGAGAAGACCCACAAUUCCACGACGAUAACAAAAUCAAAUGAUAGCCAUUAAAGUUUAUAACAUUCUAAGGCGUUUAAAUUGUUAUAAAGAAUAACUGUUCAAAAUAGAAGAAAAUGCCAUACUAAAAUUAAUAUGAUGUGAUCAGUGUAUUAAAUGUAGAAUUUGAAAAUAAUAAGUGUAAAUGGGAAUGCAAAUACGGUGGUCGACCAAUCCUUAUCAUUGUCUUGUACACACUUGAAACAGAAUACAAGUCAAGGAAGAUGCUUUAUUGAUUGCUCUUAUAGCUUACUAGAUGCUUUGUCCGCGCUACGCGCGGAUUAUGUCUUUUUAAAUUUUGUCUCUAUAUAUCUAAAUUGCUUAGCAAAGUUUGUAAGACAUAAGUUGAGUUUUAGAUUUUAUAGAGAAGUAUAGAUUUGCUCAAAAAAAAAAGAUAAAAUUGUUUAAAACGUAAACAAAUCUAGGUAUCAAGUUGUGUGGGAAAGAGAAUAAUAAUCCAAAUGAUGCAUGAACUAAAGUCAUUAUUUGUUGCAUGCUUUUGAAUGAUCUCUUAUUCGCCAUUUGAAAUGCUUUAUGUAAUCAAUUGAUUUGUUGAAGUAGAAAUUUGUUGUUGGUGAUGAACUGAGUAGUAAUUUGCCUGGAAAAUAUUAGAUAUUAUUAUUCUGUUGAUAAAAAAAUAUAUUUAGAUAUGUAUUAUUUCUUGAUGUGUUUAAAAAAAUUAUGUACCUUGGAAAAGUUUAGGAAUUAUGCUUGUGAUGAUGACAACUUUAAAUUUCAUAUUCUUCUUGCUUUGUAAGAUGCUAAAAUCUGUUGCUUGCUUGUCGUACAAUAUGAGUUUGACCAUUGUCGACCUGAGAUAGAAGUUUAUGUAUGAAGAGGAUUAUGAUUUCGUUUUUAGCUAUUGUGUUAGACUUACAUGUUUAGCCGUAAACCAAUCGUGGCAUCAGUAUUGAUUUCUGGGUAGUACGGAUUUGUUUUUUGUAUUAUGAGUAUCUACCCGACAACAUCUGCACAUUGAUUUUGAGUUAGAAUAAAAAUCCAUGUUUGUUUAAUUAAUAUUGGGAUGACUUACUUACCUUGUAAGUAGGUGGGUGUAGUGACUAAGUGCAAUAGAUUUUUGUAAUUCCGAGGAGAGAAAGUGUGAACUGGAAAUAUUGGACCGAUGUCUAGAACUUUCGAAGCUAUUGUCUUUUAGUCAAUCUGAAUGUAAUACGGCAGUUGGGUGAGUUUUCGAUGUCGUGAAUUAUGUAUGACAGAAAACCCUGAAAACUCAUAUAUGUCUCCCUCGGCCAUAUUUUCUGGGUCAUUUGGCUGAAUGUUUCCGGUGAGCCGACCUUCUAAUAGUUGUCCCUGAAAGUGAACAAAUUUUGUUGUGCCGAGCCAUUGAAGUAAAUAGUGAGUAGUUUAAAUCAAAUAUGUUGGAUUGGGAAAUACAUAUAUAUGUAUAUGCUAAAUUUAAUUAAAGGCUUACGUGGUGGUCGUAGCACAUGAAGCCGAUGCAAAUUUGAGUAUUAUUUGUUUGGUGUUUUCUGAUGUCCCAAACACUUCUUAUACAUACCGUGAUAGGACGCACUGAAAUCCCUUCUUGAAGUUGGUGAAUUUGUUGAGGAAUGUGUUGCAUGUGAGAUGUCACUAUAAAUUACAAAAGAAACUAUAAAUUAUAAUAAGAUACAUGUAUUCCAACUAUUACUAUUACACACAUGGAUAUAUUUUCAAAAUUAACUCAGAAAAAUAAGUGUACCAUGCAUAUAUGUACUUGUCUAUAAUAUUUUAUAGUUACAGCAAAAAAUAUAUAAAUAGUAUUUUACAGAUAUGAUCUUGAGAUUAGAAACAAAUUAAUUUUUCUUUUUAAUAAAAAAUUAAAAUUAUUAUAUUGAGUUUUUUUGUUUCUAAAAAAAUAGUUAGUUAACCCUAUAUAUAAGACAAAUAAUAAUAUAAGAAAAAAUAUAAUUAUAUCUUAAUUAUAUAAAUAUUUGUUUUAAAAUAAUCACAUUGUAACUGCAUAUCUUAAGAGAUAUAACAUGUUUAAAAUAAAAUUUAACAACAAAUACCUCUACAUAUCAACAAAGGAAAAAUAAAUUAUUAAUUCAAUACUAAAAUUUAAUUUAAAAAAAAAAAAUAUUCAUAUGCUUGAGACUUUACUAAAUUUUUUUAAAAAAAAUUAAUUUAAUAUAUUAUUAUAUUAAUUUGGGUAAUUUGGAGUCAGACACUGUAAUUUGGUAUUAGGAUCUUUUUACUUAUUAAAUGAAACAUUUUGGUCAUUUACAUUCAUGUGGUUUAUUUUUGUGACUAAAACUUGAGAAUGAUCUAUUAGGAGAAUUACCCCUACUCUAAUUAGAAAUGUGAUUUUAGAUAUGCUAUAAUAUUGGUAUUGAAGUUUAAAAUGUUACUAAUAAAAAUAAUAUUAAUAAAUUGAAAAUAAAUUUUUUUAAAAAAGUUUCAAAAAGUAUUUUCGAAUUUCGAACAGAAAAUUUGGAAAAAAAAUUAGUAAAAACAAAUUUGGAAAUUUUUUUUUAGAAAGUUCGAAUUAGCAAACACAUAAUCUAAAAAUAUAAAAAAAUACUUAUUUUUAUUUUAUUUUUAUCAUAUAUUUCUCUGAAUUCAACAAUAAUAUUUUUUAUUUUAAAUAUAUUAAAAUUAUGAUUAAUUUUCUUAUUUACAUUUUCGUUGGUUGUUGUCAUAGAUAUGUAUAUAUGUUUCAGGAAGAUCAAAGAGGUAAAAUAAUGACCAAAAUGUUUCAUUAAAGAGGUAAAUAUACAUUUAUACCUUUAUUGCUAACUAAUACAAACCUUAGGGUAUAGAGAUAAGGGCGGGGAAUUGGGACUGAAGUUUAAAAUUUUAUUAAAUAAAAAUAACACUAAUAAAUUAAAAAUUAAAAAUUUAGAAAUAGUUACAAAAGUAUUUUCGAAAAUAUACUCUUUUGCACCGUAAAUAUAAAUUAUAGUUCAUAUAGUAGACUAACGAUUUGCUAUAUUUUGCCAUAUCAUUCUAUAUACAGUUUAAAUGUGUAUAUUGUUACCUUGAGCCUUGAACAAAAAAAAAACUGAAACCGCAUAAAAAGAAAAACAAACCAAUUGCUGGACCCUUGAAAUUUUUAUUAUUUUUCUCAGUGAAACAGGCAGAAGAUUAUAUAUUUACCUGCAUAUUCUAUGGGCCGGUCAGAGAGUGGGCUAUCCAUUCUGUUGAGUCGGCGAUCCUCGCAACCAACCUAUUACAAAUUAGGUAUAUGUAUUAGGUUUACUUUGAAAACGUGUACGUUUUUCGACGUAUCCAAAGAAUGAUGGGUUUUUUUUUUGAGAGAUGGAUUGUUUAAGUUUAUUUCAUACGCAAAACAAUGAUGAGUUUUUGGGAGAGCUUGAUUAAACAUAAGCUAACUAUGUUUUUUUUUAAAUUUCCACCACUAAAAACACAGCAGAGCUUUAUAAGAUUUCGUCAAAAUCACUACACUCUGGUUAAACUAAACAUCUCAGAAUGUUAAUGAAUGACCAAAACAGAGCAAGACCAAGCUUUUCAUAUUUUAAAAA